AGCUCCAAUAGCGUAUAUUAAAGUUGUUGCAGUUAAAAAGCUCGUAGUUGGAUUUGUGGGUUCUGCCGGGGUCCAAUUUGGUACCUUGGCGGCGUCCAUCCUUGGGUGGAUCCUGCGUGGCAUUAAGUUGUCGCGUAGGGGAUGCUCAUCGUUUACUGUGAAAAAAUUAGCGCGUUCAAAGCAAGCUUAUGCUGUUGAAUAUAUUAGCAUGGAAUAAUGAGAUAGGACCUUGGUACUAUUUUGUUGGUUUGCGCACCGAGGUAAUGAUUAAUAGGGACAGUUGGGGGUAUUCGUAUUCCAUUGUCAGAGGUGAAAUUCUUGGAUUUCUGGAAGACGAACUACUGCGAAAGCAUUUACCAAGGAUGUUU
This 368-nucleotide ribosomal RNA is filed under the name uncultured eukaryote. RNAcentral's name for it is "SSU rRNA". It matches the Rfam family "Eukaryotic small subunit ribosomal RNA", at positions 587 to 969 of the family's 1831-position model. The record is from RNAcentral.